Molecule: ribosomal RNA, 440 nt
Filed under: uncultured bacterium
Lineage: Bacteria
Description: partial 16S ribosomal RNA
Rfam family: Bacterial small subunit ribosomal RNA
Source: RNAcentral
CCUACGGGAUGCAGCAGUGGGGAAUAUUGCACAAUGGGGGAAACCCUGAUGCAGCGCCGCCGCGUGAGCGAUGAAGUAUUUCGGUAUGUAAAGCUCUAUCAGCAGGGAAGAAAAUGACGGUACCUGACUAAGAAGCCCCGGCUAACUACGUGCCAGCAGCCGCGGUAAUACGUAGGGGGCAAGCGUUAUCCGGAUUUACUGGGGGUAAAGGGAGCGUAGACGGGGUUGCAAGUCAGAUGGGAAAGCCCGGGGCUCAACCCCGGGCCUGCAUUUGGAACUGUGCUGCUAGAGUGUCAGAGAGGCAGGCGGAAUUCCUAGUGUAGCGGUGAAAUGCGUAGAUAUUAGGAGGAACACCAGUGGCGAAGGCGGCCUGCUGGAUGAUGACUGACGUUGAGGCUCGAAAGCGUGGGGAGCGAACAGGAUUAGAUACCCCGGUAGUC